AUUUCAUUCCAUAAUUCUAUUCGAUUCCAUUCGAUGAUGAUUCCAUUCAUUUCCAUCCGAUGAUGAUUCCAUUCGAUUCCGUUCAAUGAUUAUUCCAUUCGAGUCCAUUCGAUGAUUCCAUUCGAUUCCAUUCGAUGAUGAUUGCAUUCGAGUCCAUGGAUUAUUCCAUUCCAUUCCAUUAGAUGAUUCCAUUCGGGUCCAUUCGAUGAUUCUCUUCGAUUCCAUUCGAUAAUUCCGUUUUUUUCCGUUUGAUGUUGAUUCCAUUCGAUUCCAUUCGAUGAUAAUUCCAUUCGAUUCUAUGCGAUGAUUCCAUUCCAUUCCAUUUGAAGAUGAUUCCAUUCGAGACCAUUCGAUGAUUGCAUUCAAUUCAUUCGAUGACGAUUCCAUUCAAUUCCGUUCAAUGAUUCCAUUUGAUUCCAUUUGAUGUUGAUUCCAUUCGAUUCCA
Molecule: non-coding RNA, 445 nt
Organism: Cinara cedri
Lineage: Eukaryota; Metazoa; Arthropoda; Insecta; Hemiptera; Aphididae
Source: the annotation of a GenBank genome assembly